GAUGAAGAACGCAGCGAAAUGCGAUACGUAAUGUGAAUUGCAGAAUUCAGUGUAUCAUCGAAUCUUUGAACGCACAUUGCGCCUGCCAGCACUCUGGCAGGCAUGCCUGUUCGAGCGUCAUUUCAACCAUCAAGCCCUAGGCUUGCGUUGGAGCCCUGCGGCUGCCGCAGGCCCCUAAAAGCAGUGGCGGGCUCGCUAUCACACCGAGUGCAGUAGAUUACUCUUCGCUCAGGGCGUGUGGCGGGUUCCAGCCGUGAAACCCCCUACUUCUCAAGGUUGACCUCGGAUCAGGUAGGAAUACCCGCUGAACUUAAGCAUAUCAAUAAGCGGAGGA
Molecule: unclassified non-coding RNA, 334 nt
Filed under: soil metagenome
Description: partial contains 5.8S ribosomal RNA, internal transcribed spacer 2, and large subunit ribosomal RNA
Rfam family: 5.8S ribosomal RNA (bases 1-120)
Source: RNAcentral